CAACCUUGUGCCCUGUGUUGCUGGGCAUAUGCCGUCCACCAUGGCGUGCAGUCGUCAGCUUCCAUCAACAUGGAGUGUACUGAUAUCACGGCCGGCCUCCUCAGGUCUCAUCAUGGGGAAACGAUGCUCAACAAGAAAGAAAGGUGCCUGUCAGUGUGAUGAGGAAUCCGAUUCGCAGUCUAACCCUGAGAGGUCACGAAGGCCAUGGAUUUGCUGUGUGCCGUGCGCCAUCGGUCCCCGGAGCCCCGCUACAUUCACGCACUGUGCGGAGAGCUGACUCAUGCCCUUGGAGCUUGAGGCCUGGCGGCGGGUGCUCCGGUCCCUCCGACGCCUACGAACGGUACCCCUGUAUGACGGCGCUGCUCGAUCGUUUCUGCUUUUGUCCCGAGUGCAGCGGGGGACUUUGUUCAGUUCACACUGGCGACUGAGGUGAAUGUGCUGAAUUUUCGCAGAAUCUGUCUUCACACUGCUGCUAUGUUAGUGCCUUAAAAACCAUACAUAUGUCUGCUACAUUACUGUCUUUUACAAAUAAAACUGUGCUUGAGUG
Long non-coding RNA from Scleropages formosus (Asian bonytongue), 547 nucleotides. RefSeq lists it as uncharacterized. The record is from RefSeq and is a predicted model, not a curated record. NCBI's taxonomy places the organism in Eukaryota, Metazoa, Chordata, Actinopteri, Osteoglossiformes, Osteoglossidae. The transcript is spliced from 3 exons.